UUCUGUUUAAUCAUUUAAGAAUAGCCUACAUCAAAUAAUCACUACACAUUUUUUCUUGAAGUGUUCGAGAAUUAUCCCAGAAAGAUAAUACAGACAGAACACGUUUCUUCAAUGAAAGAGAGCUAUGCUUUAUUCUUUCUAUAUCACUGAUGGGUCUCUCAGGAUAGAAGUGAUUUGCCAUUGCCUUUUUCCUGGGGUUGAAAGAAAGUUACUGGCCCAAAGUUUUGCAGCCUGCGUGGCUCUAGAACAGGGUGUCUAACCUUGGCAACUUUAAGACUUGUGGACUUCAACUCCCAGAAUGCCCUGUCAGCAUGCUCUAGAAAAUGUAUUCUUGAAUAUUGUCAACAAUCUGCCAAGAAAUGAUUGUGUGAUUUUUCUGCUGGACUAGAGGAAAUAAUAGGAUAUUGUUGGUGGGUGGUUGAAUAGAUCUAAUUCAUUCCCUUCCUAAUCAAAGAAAAAUAUGUCAACAUGCCUCUCUCAAAAUGUUGCACACUGCAGGGAUGUCACCAAGUUACAGAUCUCUCAUUUGUGGCCCUUAGCAACCUCCCUAAAAUACAUCAAAAUAAUCCAUUGAUUUGAGAGAAUCAAAAGGAGAGAUAUUACAUAUUUGGGUCUAUUUUGAGAUAUGCAAAUGCGAUAUUCUUUUCAGCAAUACAGUGAUUUGAAUAUGAAUAUGGGAGGUUGCAUUGUAUAAAACAAAUGAGAACAUUUCGAUAACUAACUCUGGAAACGUUUCAUAGACUCUAUUAUUUCAUUGCCAGUGCAGCGUUCUUAACCUUGUAUUGAUUGAGGUCACAUAUCUCCACAUUUUAGGAGGGCUGGAGAUUUGUAUAAAAGCUGUUCCUUUAGGAAUUCAAGUAUUUUAAUGGAUUCCAUGAGUGUAAUAUCAUGGAUGAAUAGAUUUGAUUAAAAUGAAUA
Molecule: long non-coding RNA, 918 nt
Organism: Thamnophis elegans (Western terrestrial garter snake)
Lineage: Eukaryota; Metazoa; Chordata; Lepidosauria; Squamata; Natricidae
Exons: 3
Source: RefSeq, a predicted model, not a curated record